Camellia sinensis is the source of this 506-nucleotide non-coding RNA. NCBI's taxonomy places the organism in Eukaryota, Viridiplantae, Streptophyta, Magnoliopsida, Ericales, Theaceae. The record is from RefSeq and is a predicted model, not a curated record.
AUUGUUGCUUUUGCACUAUGACAGAAAAAAAAGUGUGUUGAACUACAUUCGACAAACUAGCCAAUCAACCAUGAAUGAUGUCAUGGUGUGUUCACAGGAUUGUGACGUGGUACUACAGGUAGUAAAUGAAUCCCCACAGUAAUGACCAAAAUCGUGAAUGUCAUGCAUGAAACAAUAUGUCCACCACACCGGGAUAAAAAAGACAAUGGAAAGAACUUCCUGUAUCAGCGCAUGUACGACUAUGGUGGAAGAGUUUGUAGAUGAUCCUGUAAAGGGACUGAAGAUGUGGAAAGCGAAUAGCGUGGCUAAUGUCCAAGAGUUAUGUUUUUGUUUUUUUGAAUGGUUGCUUUAGUUUUGGUUGGGAAUUAUGAAGUAUGUUAUUGGAAAACAGUUUGAUGUUACAUUUGUUUGCUUGGUAAUGUGGAUGUUAGUUUUUUGUGUGCCCGACGCAUUGCGUCCAGUUCUCAUGUUUGAAACACCGAAACUUGGUAUUUUUAUUUGUGUGA